GAUGAACGCUGACAGAAUGCUUAACACAUCAGCAAUUGAUUGGUGGCGUACGGGUGAGUAACGCGUAAAGAACUUGCCUCACAGGUAGGGACAACAUUUGGAAACUAAUGCUAAUACCUAAGUCUGUGGUAUAGCGUUGCGUCCCAGUAGCUAGUGGGAGAGGUAACGGCUCACCAAGUCGAUGAUGGGUAGCCGGCCUGCGAGGGUGAUCGGCCCCAAGGGGACUGAGACACGGCCCUUAGUCCUACGGGAGGCAGCAGUGGGGAGUAUUCGACAAUGGACCAAAGUCUGAUCAAGCUAUUCUGUGUGCACGAUGAAGUUUUCGGAAUGUAAAGUGCUUUCAGUUGGGAAGCGGUCCCAACACCCGAAGUGACGGCUAAAUACGUGCCAGCAGCCGCGGUAAUUC
Molecule: ribosomal RNA, 406 nt
Filed under: uncultured bacterium
Lineage: Bacteria
Description: partial 16S ribosomal RNA
Rfam family: Bacterial small subunit ribosomal RNA
Source: RNAcentral